RNAcentral lists this non-coding RNA (69 nucleotides) under unclassified sequences. The record is from RNAcentral.
GCUUAACAAGCAAUUAACCUUUUCGUGGUGUUAAGCAUAAGUAGCUAAAAAUAGUGAAACUAAUAAUUG